Molecule: RNase P RNA, 398 nt
Filed under: human gut metagenome
Description: Bacterial RNase P class A
Rfam family: Bacterial RNase P class A
About the family: Ribonuclease P (RNase P) is a ubiquitous endoribonuclease, found in archaea, bacteria and eukarya as well as chloroplasts and mitochondria.
Source: RNAcentral
GAAUAAUCGCGCUUGAUAUAAAUCAGGUGAGGAAAGUCCGUGCAUUCAAGGACAGGCAGCCGGAGAAACUCCGGACGGUGUGAACCGGUGGAUAGGACCACAGAAAUGAAUGCAUCUUCAGGUGUAAUCUGAACGAAAGUGAAAGGAUUGCACAGGCUGGAUAGAUGCAAAUACUGCCGAUGGACAGUAAUGUCACAGGCGAUGGUGCAACGGUGAGUUAAGAGCUUCACCAGCGAUAUUGAGAAAUAUCGGCUAGGCAACCCCCUGCCGAAUGCAAGAUUGAAUUGAAGGCUAUAAAGGCUGUCCGCCAACUUCAGAAAAAUCGCUAGAGAUUGGAAGUAAUUCCAAUACCAGACAGAUGAUUAUUUAGAAACAGAACACGGCUUACGAGUUACUUU